Molecule: ribosomal RNA, 1373 nt
Filed under: uncultured bacterium
Lineage: Bacteria
Description: bacterial SSU rRNA
Rfam family: Bacterial small subunit ribosomal RNA
Source: RNAcentral
GAUGAACGCUGGCGGCGUGCCUAAUACAUGCAAGUCGAGCGAACGGACGAGAAGCUUGCUUCUCUGAUGUUAGCGGCGGACGGGUGAGUAACACGUGGAUAACCUACCUAUAAGACUGGGAUAACUUCGGGAAACCGGAGCUAAUACCGGAUAAUAUUUUGAACCGCAUGGUUCAAAAGUGAAAGACGGUCUUGCUGUCACUUAUAGAUGGAUCCGCGCUGCAUUAGCUAGUUGGUAAGGUAACGGCUUACCAAGGCAACGAUGCAUAGCCGACCUGAGAGGGUGAUCGGCCACACUGGAACUGAGACACGGUCCAGACUCCUACGGGAGGCAGCAGUAGGGAAUCUUCCGCAAUGGGCGAAAGCCUGACGGAGCAACGCCGCGUGAGUGAUGAAGGUCUUCGGAUCGUAAAACUCUGUUAUUAGGGAAGAACAUAUGUGUAAGUAACUGUGCACAUCUUGACGGUACCUAAUCAGAAAGCCACGGCUAACUACGUGCCAGCAGCCGCGGUAAUACGUAGGUGGCAAGCGUUAUCCGGAAUUAUUGGGCGUAAAGUGCGCGUAGGCGGUUUUUUAAGUCUGAUGUGAAAGCCCACGGCUCAACCGUGGAGGGUCAUUGGAAACUGGAAAACUUGAGUGCAGAAGAGGAAAGUGGAAUUCCAUGUGUAGCGGUGAAAUGCGCAGAGAUAUGGAGGAACACCAGUGGCGAAGGCGACUUUCUGGUCUGUAACUGACGCUGAUGUGCGAAAGCGUGGGGAUCAAACAGGAUUAGAUACCCUGGUAGUCCACGCCGUAAACGAUGAGUGCUAAGUGUUAGGGGGUUUCCGCCCCUUAGUGCUGCAGCUAACGCAUUAAGCACUCCGCCUGGGGAGUACGACCGCAAGGUUGAAACUCAAAGGAAUUGACGGGGACCCGCACAAGCGGUGGAGCAUGUGGUUUAAUUCGAAGCAACGCGAAGAACCUUACCAAAUCUUGACAUCCUUUGACAACUCUAGAGAUAGAGCCUUCCCCUUCGGGGGGGCAAAGUGACAGGUGGUGCAUGGUUGUCGUCAGCUCGUGUCGUGAGAUGUUGGGUUAAGUCCCGCAACGAGCGCAACCCUUAAGCUUAGUUGCCAUCAUUAAGUUGGGCACUCUAAGUUGACUGCCGGUGACAAACCGGAGGAAGGUGGGGAUGACGUCAAAUCAUCAUGCCCCUUAUGAUUUGGGCUACACACGUGCUACAAUGGACAAUACAAAGGGCAGCGAAACCGCGAGGUCAAGCAAAUCCCAUAAAGUUGUUCUCAGUUCGGAUUGUAGUCUGCAACUCGACUACAUGAAGCUGGAAUCGCUAGUAAUCGUAGAUCAGCAUGCUACGGUGAAUACGUUCCCGGGUCU